This is a non-coding RNA of Agrilus planipennis (emerald ash borer), 72 nucleotides long. Lineage: Eukaryota; Metazoa; Arthropoda; Insecta; Coleoptera; Buprestidae. The record is from Rfam.
CAUUUCGUAGCUUAGUGGUCAGAGCAUUGGUGGUAAAGCCAAAGGUCCUGGGUUCGAUUCCCGGCGGGGGGU